RNAcentral lists this ribosomal RNA (2590 nucleotides) under Peperomia obtusifolia (baby rubberplant). RNAcentral's name for it is "partial 26S ribosomal RNA". It matches the Rfam family "Eukaryotic large subunit ribosomal RNA", at positions 24 to 2716 of the family's 3401-position model. The record is from RNAcentral. Lineage: Eukaryota; Viridiplantae; Streptophyta; Magnoliopsida; Piperales; Piperaceae.
CCCGCUGAGUUUAAGCAUAUCAAUAAGUGGAGCAAAAAAACUUACAAGAAUUNCCCUAGUAACGGUGAGCGAGCCGGGAAUAGCCCAGCUUGAAAAUCAUGCGGCCAUGUCGUUUGAAUUGUAGUCUGUAGAAGCAUCCUCNNNNNNNGACCGGGCACAAGUCCCAUGGAAUGGGGUGCCAGAGAGGGUGAGAGCCACGUCAUGCCCAGACCCUAUUGCUCCACGAGAUGCUGUCAACGAGUCAGGCUGUUUGGGAAUGUAGCCCUAAUCGGGCGGUGAAUUCCAUCCAAGGCUAAAUACAGGCAAGAGGCCAAUAGCGAACAAGUACCGCGAGGGAAAGAUGAAAAGGAAUUUCAAAAGAGAGUCAAAGAGUGCUUGAAAUCAUUGGGAGGGAAGCAGAUGGGGGUCGGCAAUGUGCCCCGGUCAGAUGCGGAACGUCUCUGUUGGUCUGCCCAUCGGCUCGGGGUGUGGACCGUCACAGGUCGUGGGUGCGAACCAAGCCAGUGCAUAUUUCUGCCACUUAAACAUCAUCCCCAUGACCAAGGACUACAACAUGGGCCUUCAGGCAUGCCCUUGUAGCAUCACACGCUGACAGUGACGGCCUAUGGACUCCCCAUUUGACCCAUCUUGAAACACGGACUAAGGAGUCUGACAUGUGUGCAAGUCAACAGGUGUUCAAACCCAUAAGGCACAAGGAAGCUGAUUGACAGGAACCCCCAACGGGCUGCACCAUCGAUCGACCUUGAUCUUUUGAGAAGGAUUCGAGUGCGAGCAUACCUGUCGAGACCCAAAAGAUGGUGAACUAUGCCUGAGUGGGGCAAAGCCAGAGGAAACUCUGGUGGAGGCUCGCAGCGAUACUGACGUGCAAAUCAUUCGUCUGACUUGGGUAUAGGGGUGAAAGACUAAUCGAACCAUCCAGUAGCUGGUUCCCUCCAAAGAUUCCCUCAGGAUAGCUGGAGCUCGUCAGCGAGUUCUAUCAAGUAAAGCCAAUGAUUAGAGGCAUCAGAGGCACAAUGCCCUCGACCUAUUCUCAAAUUUUAAAUAGGUAGGACGGUGCACCUACUCCGCUGAGCCACACCACAGAAUCGAGAGCUCCAAGUGGGCCAUUUUUGGUAAGCAGAACUGGCAAUGUGGGAUGAACUGGAAGCUAGGUUAUGGUGCCCAACUGUGCGCUAACCUAGACCCCAUAAAGGGUGUUGGUCAAUUAAGACAGCAGGAUGGUGGUUAUGGAAGUCGAAAUCUGCUAAGGAGUGUGUAAGAACUCACCUGUCAAAUCAACUAGCCCCAAAAAUGGAUGGCUUAAGUGUGUGACCUAUACCCGGUCGUCGGGGCAAAUGCCAGGCCCCGAUGAGUAGGAGGGCACAGUGGUCACUGUAAAACUUGGGGUGCAAGCCCGAGCAGAGCAGCCGUCGAUGUAGAUCUUGGUGGUAGUAGUAGAUAUUCAAAUGAGAACUUUGAAGGCCAAAGUGGGGAAAGGUUCCAUGUGAAUGGCACUUGCACAUGUGUUAGUCGAUCGUAAGAGACAGGGUAAUCCUAUUCGACAACACGUUCAGUGUGCCACUCCGAAAGGGAAUUAGGUUAAAAUUCCACAAUCGGGACGUGGUGGCUGACGGCAAUGUUAGGAAGUCCGGAGAUGCUAGUGGGGGCCUUGGGAAGAGUUAUCUUUUAUGUUUAACAGCCUGCCUACCCUGGAAUCGGCUUAGUCGGAGCUAGGGUCCAAUGACUGGAAGAGCACCACACAUUGCAUGGUGUCCGGUGUGCCCCCGGCGGCCCUUGAAAAUCCGAAGGAUCAAAUGCCAUCCAUGCUCAAUCGUACUUAUAACCGCAUCAUGUCUCCAGAAUGAACAACCUCUGGUCCGACGAAACAUGUAGGCAAGGGAAGUCGGCAAAAUGGGUCCGUAACUUUGGGAAAAGGAUUGGCUCCGAGGGCUGGGCUUAGGGGGUUCCAGCCCAAACCCGUUGGCUGUCAAUGUACUGCUCGAGCUGCUCAUACGGUGAGAGUGGGUUGCCGUGUGCCGGCCGGGGGAUGAACUGGGAAUGAUCCCUUCCACGGCCUUCCCCGGGCAGUGAACAACCAACUCAGAACUGGUAUGGACAAAGGGAAUCUGACUGUUUAAUUAAAAUAAAGCAUUGCGAUGGUCUCUGCAGAUGUUAACAUAAUGUGAUUUUUGUCUAGUGCUCUGAAUGUCAAAGUAAAGAAAUUCAACCAAGCACNNNNNNNNNNNNNNNNNNNNNNNNNNNNNNNNNNNNNNNNNNNNNNNNNNNNNNNNNNNNNNNNNNNNNNNNNNNNNNNNNNNNNNNNNNNNNNNNNNNNAACGACUUGAGAGGUGUAGGAUAAGUGGGAGCCCCCUUGGGUGGAAAAAGUGAAAUACCACUACUUUUAACAUUAUUUUAGUUAUUCAGUGAGUCGGAGGUGGGGCAUCACCCCUCCUUUUGGUUCCAAGGCUUGCCUCGGCACAUCGAUCCGGGCAAAAGACAUUGUCAGGUGGGGAGUUUGGCUGGGGCAGUACAUCUGUUAAAAGGUAACAUAGGUGUCCUAAGANGAGCUCGAAGAGAACAUAAAUCUCUUGUGGAACAAAAGGGUAAAAGC